This 253-nucleotide ribosomal RNA is filed under the name uncultured bacterium. Its description in RNAcentral is "partial 16S ribosomal RNA". It matches the Rfam family "Bacterial small subunit ribosomal RNA", at positions 524 to 776 of the family's 1533-position model. The record is from RNAcentral.
CACGUAGGGGGCAAGCGUUGUCCGGAUUUAUUGGGCGUAAAGAGCGUGUAGGCGGUCCGGUAAGUCAGCUGUGAAAGUCAAGGGCUCAACCCUUGAAUGCCGGUUGAUACUGUCGGGCUAGAGUCCGGAAGAGGCGAGUGGAAUUCCCGGUGUAGCGGUGAAAUGCGCAGAUAUCGGGAGGAACACCAAUGGCGAAGGCAGCUCGCUGGGACGGUACUGACGCUGAGACGCGAAAGCGUGGGGAGCAAACGGG